RNAcentral lists this ribosomal RNA (253 nucleotides) under uncultured bacterium. RNAcentral describes it as "partial 16S ribosomal RNA". It matches the Rfam family "Bacterial small subunit ribosomal RNA", at positions 524 to 776 of the family's 1533-position model. The record is from RNAcentral.
AACGUAGGUGGCAAGCGUUAUCCGGAAUUACUGGGCGUAAAGGGCGCGUAGGCGGGUACUUAAGUUGGGGGUGAAAGCCCGGGGCUCAACCUCGGAAUUGCCUUCAAUACUGGGUAUCUUGAGUACGGGAGAGGUGAGUGGAACUCCGAGUGUAGAGGUGAAAUUCGUAGAUAUUCGGAAGAACACCAGUGGCGAAGGCGACUCACUGGCCCGUUACUGACGCUGAGGCGCGAAAGCGUGGGGAGCAAACAGG